UACGAAGGGGGCUAGCGUUGUUCGGAUUUACUGGGCGUAAAGCGCACGUAGGCGGAUUGUUAAGUCAGGGGUGAAAUCCUGGAGCUCAACUCCAGAACUGCCUUUGAUACUGGCAAUCUUGAGUCCGGAAGAGGUGAGUGGAACUCCUAGUGUAGAGGUGGAAUUCGUAGAUAUUAGGAAGAACACCAGUGGCGAAGGCGGCUCACUGGUCCGGUACUGACGCUGAGGCACGAAAGCGUGGGGAGCAAACAGG
RNAcentral lists this ribosomal RNA (253 nucleotides) under uncultured bacterium. Its description in RNAcentral is "partial 16S ribosomal RNA". It matches the Rfam family "Bacterial small subunit ribosomal RNA", at positions 524 to 776 of the family's 1533-position model. The record is from RNAcentral.